This 336-nucleotide unclassified non-coding RNA is filed under the name Hevea brasiliensis (rubber tree). The record is from RNAcentral. Lineage: Eukaryota; Viridiplantae; Streptophyta; Magnoliopsida; Malpighiales; Euphorbiaceae.
CAUCCUCAAAUAUUAAAAUCAAAACAGAUACUCGAAAGUUCACUUGUAAGCAUAAGAAAUCUUCAACAUAAACUUAAGAACACUGAUGUUGAUAGAGAAUCUUCUUCUUUUUUUUUUUUUUUUUUUUUCCCUUUUCCCCCCCUUUUUUUUUUAUUUUUUAAAACAUUUAAUCAUUGUUGUUGCAAAUUAUCUGUAACAUAACAUAUAGAAGAAUACACACAUGCUCACACAUAUUCUUACCAUUCAGGUUACUACCGCUAUUAGUACAUAGCAAGUGACAAAAAAAAAGGCUGUGUACAGAAUACUCACUUUCGUAAACAUUCAUCAUAAAACCCA